Molecule: ribosomal RNA, 478 nt
Filed under: uncultured bacterium
Lineage: Bacteria
Description: partial 16S ribosomal RNA
Rfam family: Bacterial small subunit ribosomal RNA
Source: RNAcentral
GACGAACGCUGGCGGCGUGCUUAACACAUGCAAGUCGAACGGUAAGGCCCCUCGGGGUACACGAGUGGCGAACGGGUGAGUAACUCGUGGGUGAUCUGCCCUGCACUUCGGGAUAAGCCUGGGAAACUGGGUCUAAUACCGGAUAGGACCACUGCCUGCAUGGGUGGUGGUGGAAAGCUUUUGCGGUGUGGGAUGGGCCCGCGGCCUAUCAGCUUGUUGGUGGGGUGAUGGCCUACCAAGGCGACGACGGGUAGCCGGCCGGAGAGGGUGACCGGCCACGCUGGGUCUGAGAUACGGCCCAGGCUCCUGCGGGGGGGAGGAGGGGGGAAUAGUGCACAAUGGGCGCAAGCCUGAUGCAGCGACGCCGCGUGAGGGAUGACGGCCUUCGGGUUGUAAACCUCUUUCAGCACCGACGAAGCGCAAGGGACGGUAGGUGCAGAAGAAGGACCGGCCAACUACGUGCCAGCAGCCGCCGUAA